RNAcentral lists this ribosomal RNA (753 nucleotides) under uncultured organism. RNAcentral describes it as "SSU rRNA". It matches the Rfam family "Eukaryotic small subunit ribosomal RNA", at positions 577 to 1343 of the family's 1831-position model. The record is from RNAcentral.
CGGUAAUUCCAGCUCCAAUAGCGUAUAUUAAAGUUGUUGCAGUUAAAAAGCUCGUAGUUGGACCUUGGACCUGGACAGGCGGUCCGCCUCACGGCGAGUACUGUCUUGCUGGGUCUUUCCUCUUGGUGAUCUGUUGUUUCGGCAGCAGGGAACCAGGACCUUUACUUUGAAAAAAUUAGAGUGUUCAAAGCAGGCUCGACGCCGGAAUAUAUUAGCAUGGAAUAGUAAAAUAGGACGUGCGGUUCUAUUUUGUUGGUUUUUGGAAUCGCCGUAAUGAUUAAUAGGGAUAGUCGGGGGCAUCAGUAUUCAAUUGUCAGAGGUGAAAUUCUUGGAUUUAUUGAAGACUAACUACUGCGAAAGCAUUUGCCAAGGAUGUUUUCAUUAAUCAGUGAACGAAAGUUAGGGGAUCGAAGACGAUCAGAUACCGUCGUAGUCUUAACCAUAAACUAUGCCGACUAGGGAUCGGGCGAUGUUAUCUUUUUGACUCGCUCGGCACCUUACGAGAAAUCAAAGUUUUUGGGUUCUGGGGGGAGUAUGGUCGCAAGGCUGAAACUUAAAGGAAUUGACGGAAGGGCACCACCAGGAGUGGAGCCUGCGGCUUAAUUUGACUCAACACGGGGAAACUUACCAGGUCCAGACAUAGCAAGGAUUGACAGACUGAGAGCUCUUUCUUGAUUCUAUGGGUGGCGGUGCAUGGCCGUUCUUAGUUGGUGGAGUGAUUUGUCUGGUUAAUUCCGAUAACGAACGAGACCU